This is a non-coding RNA of Pelobates cultripes (western spadefoot toad), 3103 nucleotides long. NCBI's taxonomy places the organism in Eukaryota, Metazoa, Chordata, Amphibia, Anura, Pelobatidae. The record is from the annotation of a GenBank genome assembly.
AUAUUUUUUUUUUUACAUUUCUGGAAAUUUGACCCGUUUUCACCAGAAAAGGGAUAGGCCCAUUUUCGUCCGAAAUUUCGGUGCAUCCCUAGUUUGAACUGGAUUAUGUGAUCUAAAUCUUAAUAUACAUUUUAAAAAGAAAAUGGACCAUCUCAUUAAAAAAAAAUAAGUUGACACGAAUCAUAGGUAAUUUUCAAUGCUUUAUACAAUGAUGUAAUUUUGUGACAAUUUCCCUUUAAUAUUUUGUAUACAGCUUACUUAUAGCUCAACAAGCAAUGACUGUAGAUUUAUGAUAUUCACAUUUUUGGAAUCCAAGCUAAUGGACAUCUCAAAAUAUAAUUGAAAGAUACAUGGACUUAUUAAAGAGGCAGCGGGGUUAUUUGAGGCUCUGCCAAUUCAGAGCAAAUGCCAAUAAAGGCACUGGAGAAAUGAACAUGAAUUAAACUAAUCGGUGCCAGUUUGUGAGGGAAUUGUUUUUGUUUUGUUUGUUGUUUUCUAGAUUGGCACAGAACCUAGAGAUUUCAUGUUUGUUUGCCCAUUUUGAUUAUACAUGAAUUUAUUUUUAAUAAAUUAAUCAAAGUUUUAAUAAAAUUCUUGGAUACAUUUAUAAAUGCAAUAAUAGACCAUCUGUUUUAUUAGCAGAGUUGAGCGCCGGCCCUAUCAUGAAUUUAUUAUCUCAAAAUGUGCCCUGUCGGAAACUUAAAACACAAGCAUUUUUUACAGACAUAACUUGCCCUCUGCUGAAGUUGUCUUAAAUAAAAAAAAAAAUUCAAAAUCCAGGUUGUAAAAACAAGUUUAUGCUGCUUUUAAUUUUUUUUAAUUUUAUUUUAGACGUUGAUCGUUUCUUACCAACAAAAUUUUAUCUCCUCGAAUCAAGAUGAAUAGUAUGUAUACCCACGUAUUGCUGAUAUCAAGCACAAUUCAUACAUUUGUAUCGAAGACCAGUAAUGGCUGCACAGAAUGCGCAUAACUUGUUAAGACUGUUAUGGGUAACCUUGGGACUUCAGAGCUUUGUGAACUACAUUUCUGUAUUAAACAAAAAGUGAAGAAAGUGUUCCACCACUUCAAUAAAUAGUGAUGGUAAUACUAGUAAACUCAAAAAAGUGCUUACCCAAAACCUUUUAAAUAAAUCUAAAAGAUACAAAUCAUACUAAAAAUCACACCCAGUGUGUACAUACAUAAAAAUACUUUGUAUUAAAGAUAUUUCCAAUAGUGUAGUUCUAUAAUAUCCAGAGUAAAAGAAUCCUGUAUCUAAAAUGAGAUAAAUAAAAAAGAACAAACACAGUGCAGUGUGUAUGGUAAUAAAAAAAUAAAAAAAUUCUGCUGUGAUAUAGGAAUUGCAUUUACUUGAUGAAGAGCUGUACCAGGCUCCCUACAAGUAGCCCAUGGAUGCCGAUUCAGGCCUUAGUGUGCACAUCAAUCUUCAAAGUUAAUGGACUGCGAAAAUUUUUUGUACAAUAUAAAAAGUAUAUGCAUAAAAAAUAAUUUUACAAUAAAAUUUAAGGGGGGCAGGGAAAAUGCCAAUAAAAGUGACAUGGCCAAGUGAUUUUGGAAAUUUAGUUCACAAAACUGUGAAGGUUACACUUUCAUGUCCUAGGUCAUAUUGUAAUUGUUUUUUGGAUUUUAGAACGCUACAUUACACUUUACUCCCUACCCCCCCACCCCUCCCCCAUUGCUUACUAGCGUAAUGUCAUAUAAAUUUUUAUUUCUUAAUUAGACUUUCACAAUGUAUGUGAAAAUUGCCUUUUUGAAUGGGCUGCUUUAAGAUGUACCACGGUUACAAAGUAGGAAACAGCAGGGAAGUGUACGAAUUCUGUGUUUGCAAAGCAGGUAAACAGAGCAGUGUUAUGUUUUCAAGUUUCACAGAUAAACAUCUCUUACUUAACUUUGUGCAAUUCGAAACCGUCACAUUGCAAGAAGAGUGUAGAAUUCAGUGCUAGGAUCUUUUAUUUUCCAGUAUAACAGAAUACUUGUUUCGGACCGAAUGUCUUGGCAGAAAAAUCUGGCUGUAGUUCCCAUGAAUUUGUUUUCACUGAUCCUGAUCAUCUGCCUUACUUAAGAUCAGUCUCAGUCUACGUUUUUUUGUUUUUUUUUUAAUAUUGUAAUGUAAAUUAUUGAAUUGCUAACUAUAUAAAAGAAAAUUUAAACAUGUGCUUGUAUGUAACUGAACAUGGUUUAACCCUUAGAGUUGCUAAGAGGAAAGCGAUCCACAGAAUUACAAUGCUUUGCUUGCCCCUCUAGGGCACCAAAGCAUCGACGACCUUCAUUUAGUGUAUGACAUUUGGAGCUGGACAGUUUUAAUGCACAAGCAGUUCUGUUCGUAUGUAUAAUUGUAACCUGAUUUUACCGUGUAAAAAGGGUUACAUUUAAGUCUUUAGGUUUGUUUUUUUUUUUUGGUCAAAGACUCCUUUAGAUUGCUCGUUUAUGUCCAGACAUAAUCUUAUUCUUCGUGAAUCUUUUUGUUUGUGUAAUAUAAGAGUUUUUUGUUUUUUUUCCCCCUCUUUUUGUUCUUCCUUGAAAUGGCUUGUAUUCUGCUUUUUUGACAGCUUCUCAUGUAAAAGUCUUUAAAAUUAACAGUCUGUUUUAGAUUAUUUUUUUAAUUUUAUUUUUUUCCCUUUUAAUUUUCUUCUUCAUGCUAAAAUGUCAAUUUGGUGUUUUUUUGUGAACUGGUCAGAAAUUCACAGGUCUUUAAAUGUUUUUGGGAAAUUUUUAUUGAACACUUGCUAUUUUUGUCUAGCAAAUUGAAAGAUGUUAAUAUAUUCCUUGCUGGCAUGUGCACGGCUGUCAUAGAAGCCACUUUAUCAUUUUCUUCUGCUUUAAUUAGAAAUGUCUAUUUAUGAAUCCUGCUUGUAGUUUUUUUUUCCCACAAAUAAAAUAGUAAAAUUUAAACCUAAAUCUGUAUUUUUUAUUAUUCAAUCACUUUUUUCCCCUGAAUCCAAUUUCUAUCUUACUUGCUUUUAUCCUACUAUUACGUACAUGACUGGUUUCCAAAAAAAUGUUCUUCUUGUAGUAUUAUGAUUGUGUAAAUAUCAAUACAUAUAUGCUACUGUACAGUAUUAAUAUAUCUUUGUGGUUACUGUUCUGCAAUUUGCUGUUUUCUCAU